Molecule: ribosomal RNA, 324 nt
Filed under: uncultured eukaryote
Lineage: Eukaryota
Description: partial 18S ribosomal RNA
Rfam family: Eukaryotic small subunit ribosomal RNA
Source: RNAcentral
CCCUUAGAUGUUCUGGGCCGCACGCGCGCUACACUGAUGAAUGCAACGAGCUCUACCCUUGACCGAAAGGCCCGGGUAAACUUGUGAAACUUCAUCGUGAUGGGGAUAGAUUAUUGCAAUUAUUGGUCUUCAACGAGGAAUUCCUAGUAGACGUAGUUCAUCAGACUGCAUCGAUUACGUCCCUGCCCUUUGUACACACCGCCCGUCGCUCCUACCGAUUGAAUGCUCAGGUGAGCCAUUCGGACUUUCAUCAUGCUGGUUUCCAGUUUUGAUGAAGGAAAGUCUUGCGAACCUUAUCAUUUAGAGGAAGGAGAAGUCGUAACA